AUAAUUUGAAAACACGAACCCUCCGUUUGGUUCGGGGUUAAGAAAAAAAUAGCUAUUCCAGGGAUAGAGUUAAGUUCAAAAUUAAAGUAGAGUUAAAGUUUUUUUGUGUUUGGUUGGAGGUUGGAGUUAGUCUAGAAUAAUAAAAAAUAGUGUUUGGUUGGGUAGGUGGGAUAAGAAGAUAAUGAUUGAUAAAGAAGGAUAAUGAUUGGUUGGAGUAGGUGGGGUUGGAGUAGGUGGGAUAAGAAGAUAAUGAUUGAUAAAGAAGGAUAAUGAUUGGUUGGAGUGGGUGUGAUAAGAAAGAUAGUGGGUUAUUAUGAAUAGAAAAUAGUGUUUGGUUGGAGUUUGGUAGGGUUAGGUGGGGUUAGCUAAUCCGAGAUAAUUUAUUUGAUGUAGGAUUAGGUGGGGUUAGCUAACCCCACCUAUUUUUUGAAGUGUUUGGAGAUAAAAUAGGGGUUAAGAGGUUAUUCCACCCCUUAA
Molecule: long non-coding RNA, 477 nt
Filed under: Ananas comosus (pineapple)
Lineage: Eukaryota; Viridiplantae; Streptophyta; Magnoliopsida; Poales; Bromeliaceae
Description: long non-coding RNA (ACOM_LNC008358)
Source: RNAcentral